Molecule: unclassified non-coding RNA, 203 nt
Filed under: uncultured Ascomycota
Lineage: Eukaryota; Fungi; Ascomycota
Description: sequence contains ITS2
Source: RNAcentral
CGAGUCCGUUUCUUCCAGGCCCUUCUUGAAAGGGUGUUGGGUAUUGGGUCGUCGUCCUCCUCUCCUUUUCCCUGGAGGAUGGGCCCGAAAGGCAGUGGCGGUACCCGCUUUUGGUCCGGAAGCGUAUGGGGGCUCUGAUUUUUGUGACCUGCUUCCCGGGACCGAAUCGGUGACUAGCCUAUGUUCUCCUUGGUUCUCAUCCC